Long non-coding RNA from Zea mays, 162 nucleotides. RefSeq lists it as uncharacterized. NCBI's taxonomy places the organism in Eukaryota, Viridiplantae, Streptophyta, Magnoliopsida, Poales, Poaceae. The transcript has 3 exons. The record is from RefSeq and is a predicted model, not a curated record.
CCUUUGCGUGGCCAACUUCAAAAACUACCAGCAGUGUGUUUCACAUAUUGAAGCAGCUUGGGAUCUUGCAUAUUCCAUUGGCAGCUAUGUGUUCAGUAGUGGUUCUGACCCCAAGUCACAGCUUUUCGAUGGGCACAACAAAUCAGGAGCUACCAUAUACGC